UUUGGUGAUUAUGGCGGCAGGGAUACACCCGGUUACAUUCCGAACCCGGAAGUUAAGUCUGCCAGCGCCCAAGAUACUUGGACUUGGUUCAGGGAAAAUAGGUCGUCGCCAAAC
This 114-nucleotide ribosomal RNA is filed under the name Leptotrichia sp. oral taxon 212. Lineage: Bacteria; Fusobacteriati; Fusobacteriota; Fusobacteriia; Fusobacteriales; Leptotrichiaceae. The record is from RNAcentral.